RNAcentral lists this ribosomal RNA (497 nucleotides) under uncultured bacterium. RNAcentral's name for it is "partial 16S ribosomal RNA". It matches the Rfam family "Bacterial small subunit ribosomal RNA", at positions 28 to 507 of the family's 1533-position model. The record is from RNAcentral.
GAUGAACGCUGGCGGCGUGCCUAAUACAUGCAAGUCGAGCGAACAGACGAGGAGCUUGCUCCUCUGACGUUAGCGGCGGACGGGUGAGUAACACGUGGAUAACCUACCUAUAAGACUGGGAUAACUUCGGGAAACCGGAGCUAAUACCGGAUAAUAUAUUGAACCGCAUGGUUCAAUAGUGAAAGAUGGUUUUGCUGUCACUUCUAGAUGGAUCCGCGCCUCUUUAGCUAGUUGGGAAGGUAACGGCUUACCAAGGCGGCGAUGCGUAGCCGACCGGAGAGGGGGAUCGGCCACACUGGAGCUGAAACGCGGACACGGGUCCUACGGGAGGCAGCAGUAGGGAACGUGCCGCAAUGGGCGGAAGCAUUACGGAGCAGCGGCGCGUGAGUGAUGAAGAUCUUCGGAGCGUAAAACUCUGUUAUGAGGGAAGAACAAAUGUGUAAGUAAAAGUGCACGUCUUGACGGUACCUAAACAGGAAGCACCGGCUAACUACGUG